This 56-nucleotide transfer RNA is filed under the name Helianthus annuus (common sunflower). It matches the Rfam family "tRNA", at positions 9 to 63 of the family's 71-position model. From Rfam's summary of the family: Transfer RNA (tRNA) molecules are approximately 80 nucleotides in length. Their secondary structure includes four short double-helical elements and three loops (D, anti-codon, and T loops). The record is from Rfam by way of RNAcentral. Lineage: Eukaryota; Viridiplantae; Streptophyta; Magnoliopsida; Asterales; Asteraceae.
AGCUCAGAGCAAGAGCACCGCCCUGUCAAGGCGGACGUUGCGGGUUCGAGCCCCGU